UGGAGAGGCGGCUGGCAGCAUGGGAGAGAGGUGGCUCCACCGGGGUGGGCAGGAUCACUCGGCUGGGAAGGGCAGCCCGCACGGGUGAGAGGGCCACUAGAGACGCACCCAGGUCUUACCUGGAGCCUCUUGAUCUGCACCAGAGCUGCCCCUCGAACUGAGACCGGGUAUCGGGGGCCCACCAUGGCUGUAGCCUUCAGGCUGUAGACUCCUGAAAUGGGAGGUCAGGCAGCAGAGCCGUGUUCCCCGCUCUGCCCAGCACCUGGAACGGCGCUUGAAGCAGAGCGGCCACUGCACAAAUAAUAGCGGAAUGGAUGAAUGAACACAAGGAGGCAGAGGAAUCCCAGAGGUCGCUCCAACUGGGACCCCGACCCCUCAUCCAGGCCGUAGGAUCGGUGGCAGCCGGGGGCGCGCGGAGAGCGAGGCUCUCUCAAACUCUCGGCAGCCGCGCCCUGCCCCGCGUUGCCAGGUGCCCGUUGCCAUGGCGCCGGGGCGGGGCCGAGAGCCCAGGGCCCUAGCGCGCGCCGUACUCUGUGCGGUCAUGCCGUCCCCGCGUUGCCAGGGCUCCCAGCACCCGGCGGGUGGACGCGCCCCUCAGCGGAGGGCUCAGAGCGUGGCCGCGGGCACGCAGGACGCUCAGAGCAGAGGGAUGGAGGCGUCGCGGGCCGCGACACGGACUUCGCCUGGGCCUCAGCCCAGGUCCACAGCAUGGCCGCGGCGCAUCUUCCGCCACACUCUGCUGUUCUACCGGAGGAGGCGAGAGCGCCGCCACGGACUGCGCAAACCCGGCGCGGGUCGCGGAGCGGCCGGAUCCUCCACCUCCGUCCCC
This is a long non-coding RNA of Sapajus apella (tufted capuchin), 829 nucleotides long. RefSeq lists it as uncharacterized. NCBI's taxonomy places the organism in Eukaryota, Metazoa, Chordata, Mammalia, Primates, Cebidae. The record is from RefSeq and is a predicted model, not a curated record. The transcript has 3 exons.